AGUUUUUUAUUUUAUAAUAAAUACAAGUAUAAAUUGUGAAUUUAUAAAAAAUUUUAUUAAUUU
RNAcentral lists this transfer RNA (63 nucleotides) under Romanomermis nielseni. RNAcentral's name for it is "tRNA-His". Lineage: Eukaryota; Metazoa; Nematoda; Enoplea; Mermithida; Mermithidae. The record is from RNAcentral.